RNAcentral lists this ribosomal RNA (500 nucleotides) under uncultured bacterium. Its description in RNAcentral is "partial 16S ribosomal RNA". It matches the Rfam family "Bacterial small subunit ribosomal RNA", at positions 30 to 523 of the family's 1533-position model. The record is from RNAcentral.
AUUGAACGCUGGCGGCAUGCCUUACACAUGCAAGUCGAACGGCAGCACGGGAGCAAUCCUGGUGGCGAGUGGCGAACGGGUGAGUAAUAUAUCGGAACGUGCCCAGUCGUGGGGGAUAGCGUAGCGAAAGCUACGCUAAUACCGCAUACGAUCUAUGGAUGAAAGCGGGGGAUCGCAAGACCUCGCGCGAUUGGAGCGGCCGAUAUCAGAUUAGGUAGUUGGUGAGGUAAAGGCUCACCAAGCCGACGAUCUGUAGCUGGUCUGAGAGGACGACCAGCCACACUGGGACUGAGACACGGCCCAGACUCCUACGGGAGGCAGCAGUGGGGAAUUUUGGACAAUGGGCGCAAGCCUGAUCCAGCAAUGCCGCGUGCAGGAUGAAGGCCUUCGGGUUGUAAACUGCUUUUGUACGGAACGAAACGGCGAGCUCUAAUACAGUUUGCUAAUGACGGUACCGUAAGAAUAAGCACCGGCUAACUACGUGCCAGCAGCCGCCGUAA